CCCUUCGAGAGGGGGUGGCGUGCAUCUCUACUAAGAAGGUUCACAAAUUAUAUGCCACUAAACACCCCUCGAACAUAGGUGUUGAUGGAAAUAAGGGAUUGACUCCUUAGAGCGAGAAGAAUGCAGAUCAAGCUAGGUUAGCACGAUUCGAAUAAAUAUUUACUACCAUCGUGACCAUGGCCAUGAUACAGAAGACUGCAUCGAACUCUAAGAUUAGAUCAAGGAGCUAAUCCGAUGUAGAUGUCUGGAUCGAUUCAUCAGACAUCGACAUGAACAACAGGAAGAAUAAUAAAGGUCACCUCGACCAUCAGAACAAUAGCAAAGAUAGCCCCCCAA
This 336-nucleotide long non-coding RNA is filed under the name Elaeis guineensis (African oil palm). RNAcentral describes it as "long non-coding RNA (EGUI_LNC048190)". The record is from RNAcentral. Lineage: Eukaryota; Viridiplantae; Streptophyta; Magnoliopsida; Arecales; Arecaceae.